GCCUUGUACACACCGCCCGUCACACCACGAGAGUUUGUAACACCCGAAGUCGGUGAGGUAACCUUUUAGGAGCCAGCCGCCUAAGGUGGGAUAGAUGAUUGGGGUGAAGUCGUAACAAGGUAGCCGUAUCGGAAGGUGCGGCUGGAUCACCUCCUUU
RNAcentral lists this ribosomal RNA (157 nucleotides) under Streptococcus gordonii. RNAcentral describes it as "partial 16S ribosomal RNA". It matches the Rfam family "Bacterial small subunit ribosomal RNA", at positions 1378 to 1533 of the family's 1533-position model. Lineage: Bacteria; Bacillati; Bacillota; Bacilli; Lactobacillales; Streptococcaceae. RNAcentral also lists the same sequence under 4 other names. The record is from RNAcentral.